Molecule: unclassified non-coding RNA, 9047 nt
Filed under: Hevea brasiliensis (rubber tree)
Lineage: Eukaryota; Viridiplantae; Streptophyta; Magnoliopsida; Malpighiales; Euphorbiaceae
Source: RNAcentral
GUAAACCUGAGGGUCCGAAAAGAAACCACUGUGCAAGAGAAAUAAACGAGAGAAGAUAGUGAGUGAGAUAAAUCUUCCUCCUCCGUGUGCAACCAUCGUUCUGGAUAUCCAUGCUCCAUCUUCUGCAAACCCUAAUACCGAUCAGUUUCCCUCCACUAUCGGCCUUGAAUUUCCCUCUUAUUGCAACCUUCUUAUUCCCUCCAUAUCCUCACUAAACCUUUCUCGUCUCCCCAAACCCACAUUUUUUUUUAAAAUUUUCAUAAACAAUCUCUAGGGUUUGCAAAUUCUCAAUUAGUCUAAGACAGAAUGUCUCUCCCUCCCAUGGACUGUAUAUACGUUACAGAAGAAUAUAUGCACGAAUGGAAAAGCGGAAACCAAAACUUUCGGUUCCCUAACCCCGUGCCUAUGCUUCGCUUCCUUUACGAGCUCUGCUGGACCAUGGUUAGGGGAGAAUUGCCGUUUCAGAAGUGCAAAGUGGCACUAGAUUCUGUAGAGUUUUCGGAUAGAGUGUCUGGUGAAGAAUUAGCUUCGAAUUUUGCAGAUAUCAUUACCCAAAUGGCUCAAGAUCUUACAAUGCCUGGAGAAUACCGUGCUCGCCUUAUAAAGUUGGCAAAGUGGGUGGUGGAAUCUGCAUUGGUCCCAUUAAGGCUUUUCCAAGAGCGUUGUGAGGAGGAAUUUCUGUGGGAGGCUGAAAUGAUAAAGAUAAAAGCUCAGGAUUUGAAGGGCAAAGAGGUUAGAGUAAACACUCGUCUUCUGUAUCAGCAAACAAAAUUUAACCUUCUCCGAGAAGAAAGUGAGGGCUAUGCCAAACUGGUUACCCUUCUUUGUCGAGGUUAUGAAGAUACAACUGAAAAUGCAUCAGCGGCAACAAUAGGCAUCCUUAAGUCAUUAAUUGGGCAUUUUGAUCUGGACCCAAACCGUGUCUUUGAUAUCGUUUUAGACUGUUUUGAACUUCAGCCUGACAACACUAUCUUCUUGGAGUUGAUUCCUAUCUUUCCCAAGUCACAUGCAUCCCAAAUUCUUGGUUUUAAGUUUCAAUAUUAUCAGCGGAUGGAAGUAAAUAGUCCUGUACCAUUUGGGCUCUAUAAGCUUACAGCUUUGUUGGUGAAGGAAGACUUCAUUGAUCUUGAUAGCAUAUAUGCUCAUCUACUUCCUCGGGAUGAUGAGGCUUUUGAGCAUUAUAAUGCUGUUUCUUCCAAGCGACUGGAUGAGGCUAACAAAAUUGGAAAAAUAAAUUUGGCUGCUACUGGAAAGGACCUCAUGGAUGAUGAGAAACAAGGAGAUGUGACAAUUGAUCUUUUUGCCGCUUUUGACAUGGAAACUGAGGCUGUCACCGAAAGGUCCUCAGAGCUUGAAAGCAGUCAAACUUUGGGGUUGCUUACUGGUUUUCUCUCGGUGGAUGACUGGUAUCAUGCUCACAUAUUGUUUGAUCGUCUCUCUCCACUAAAUCCAGUGGCACAUGUUCAAAUAUGCAAUGGGUUGUUUAGGCUCAUUGAAAAGUCAAUCUCAGCAGCAUAUGAUAUCAUUCGUCAAUCACAUCUCCAAAAUUUUGGGUCUCCUUCAGGAGCUGGUAUUGAUUCUAUGGACACAAGUAGUUCUCUUGGCCAUAGGUCAUUCAUUGAUCUUCCAAAAGAGCUUUUUCAGAUGCUUGCGACUACUGGACCUUAUCUUUACCGUGAUGCAAUAUUGCUGCAGAAGAUAUGUAGAGUAUUGAGAGGUUACUAUUUGUCUGCACUUGAGCUUGUAAGCAGCAGUGAUGGAGCUACAAAUGGUGAACCUGUCAUUACAGGAAACCCUCGUCCCCACCUAAGGGAAGCUAGGUUGAGGGUAGAGGAAACAUUGGGGACUUGCCUACUUCCUUCUCUGCAGUUGAUACCUGCAAAUCCGGCAGUUGGGCAGGAGAUUUGGGAAGUAAUGAGUCUGCUUCCAUAUGAGGUGCGCUAUCGUUUAUAUGGUGAAUGGGAGAAAGAUGAUGAACGGAAUCCAAUGGUUUUAGCUGCAAGACAAACAGCUAAAUUGGACACCAGAAGGAUUUUAAAGAGGCUUGCGAAGGAAAAUUUGAAGCAGCUGGGUCGGAUGGUUGCAAAACUAGCUCAUGCUAAUCCAAUGACUGUGCUUCGAACAAUUGUUCACCAGAUUGAGGCAUAUCGGGAUAUGAUCACCCCUGUUGUGGAUGCUUUCAAGUAUUUGACACAGCUCGAGUAUGAUAUCUUGGAAUAUGUCGUAAUUGAGCGCCUGGCACAAGGCGGUCGUGAUAAACUAAAAGACGAUGGCCUUAAUUUGUCAGACUGGCUUCAAUCACUGGCGUCAUUUUGGGGUCACCUAUUUAACUCGGCAAAAGCAGGAUGACUGGAGCUGAGGUGUUGUGGGACAUUGCUGGUUUCUCUGAGUCCUGAUUGGCUUGGCUUAGUUUCAACUUCUUGGCUUGGCAAUUGAAUAGGCUUCAAUCGGAGAAACUUCAUGGGAUUUUGUAAUAAACUGAAUCAAAUGGAUGGGAAAUGAUAUCUGAUGGGGAGGGGCUGUCAGAGGAAUAUCAUCUCAGUGAUGCUAUUCUUUUCUCAAGUUUCACAUAUACUGUUUUUAAAGAUGUGGAAGACAGUUUCAAAAUGUUGGAGUGAGAUUCUAUAACAUGACUACCUAGGUGAAAGAUCACUUUGGAAAUCAAGUAUAGGCUGAUGUGCUAAUGAGGGGAUUGGUUAGGAAGGAUUCCAUUAUCAAACUUCAUAUAGGUGCUAUUCUUUUUUCCCUUUUCAAGUUUUUCAUAAUGGGAAAUGGGGAUUAAUAUCUUUUAGAUGAGAUUGAUGAUUAUGACCUGCUUAGAUGGAAGAUGAUUUCUGAUCAAAAGAGGGUAUUUAUGGAAAACUGUUAUGCUUUGCCUUGCGACUUGGAAGCUGGGUGCCAUUUACAUAGAUGGCAUUGUGAAGACCGGUGGAGAAGUGUGUUUAAUUUGAAUCAUACAAAUGGGAUGGGAAUUUUUAAUUAAUGGUUCGAAGUGGAGCUGUGGAUCUUUGCAAUUUGAUAUUAUUCUUCAGGUGACAUGUAGUGCGAUGAAAUUGAUACCUUAAUUUGCUGGCUAUCUGAAGAGCUUAAAUUUAGGUGGGAGGUUGAAACUAGAUGGCAUUUGGUUGUGGGUUUGGUAGAUUCCUGUCAGCAUGUUCUUUCAUCUUGGCUUUUGUUUCAGUUUGUGUCUUUCCUGGUAUUUGUGGCUGGAAUGUUGCAAGAAAUACAUUUUUUGUCAGAUGUGAUGUUUAAAUAUAAUUUUGCCACAAGACAUCCAGCAGAUGGGUACUCAUCUAUCAUGAGAUGUUUAAAUAUAAUCUUGUUUUGAUGGUGGCUUUUGGGUACUUCAAGGUGCAAUGGAAUCCUUCAUAAUGGAAUUCUAUGGGUAACCAUUGUGCAAUGCGAUGCAUAGCAUGCAAUCUGUGGAAAUAAAUCAAUUUCUGUGGACACAACGCUCAGAAAUAAUGUCAAAGCUCUCAUGGUUGCCAGGGCUGUUCAGUUGUGCAUUCAUUGGGCUAGUUUUUCAUGGAGUCCAUAAAAGUUUGGUGCAAGAAGUAUCCAUCUAUGGAAUUGAGGGGUCUUUUCCAGUAUCUUGUGAACCAGCUUAAGAAGGGUCAGGGAAUUGAGCUUGUUCUUCUGCAGGAGCUCAUCCAACAAAUGGCUAAUGUUCAGUACACCGAGAACCUAACAGAGGAACAGUUGGAUGCAAUGGCAGGGAGUGAGACUCUCCGGUAUCAGGCUACUUCUUUUGGUGUAACACGGAAUAACAAGGCUUUGAUAAAGUCGACUAAUAGGCUACGGGACUCAUUGCUUCCAAAGGAUGAAUCAAAGUUGGCAAUCCCUCUUUUAUUACUUAUUGCUCAACAUCGUUCAGUGGUUGUCAUUAAUGCAGAGGCACCGUACAUUAAAAUGGUUAGUGAGCAGUUUGAUAGAUGCCAUGGAACUCUUCUUCAGUAUGUGGAAUUUCUUUGUAGUGCUGUGACACCAGCCAAUGCUUAUGCCCAGUUGAUUCCAUCUCUUGAUGAUCUUGUACACCUUUACCACCUUGAUCCUGAGGUUGCUUUUUUAGUAUAUCGCCCUGUAAUGAGGCUCUUCAAGUGUGAGGGUAGUUCUGAUGUUUUCUGGCCUUUGGAUGACAAUGAAGUUGUGAACAGUACAACUACAAAUAUGGAGUGUGAGCAAGCAGAAUAUUCUGGCAAAGUGAUUUUGGAUCUUGGAUCUCCUCAGAAGCCUAUAAUGUAACAAUUUAAUCCCUAUCUUGUAAUUUUCUCGCAUUGUUAGCAUUUUGUUGCCCUUGCAUACGCUUACUAUUGUUCAGAGGAAUAGGUGGAAUAGUAACACCAUUCUAUACGCAAUGGAGAUUAAAUGUUUUUUGUGAAGAAUGUUUAUGAAUAAAUUCUAUUCAGGUGGUCUGAUCUUCUUGAAACUGUGAAAACAAUGUUGCCUUCAAAAGCCUGGAAUAGCCUCUCGCCUGAUCUCUAUGCAACUUUUUGGGGGCUCACAUUGUAUGAUCUAUAUGUUCCUAGAAAUCGCUAUGAGUCUGAAAUUGCAAAGCAGCAUGCGGCUCUUAAAGCUUUGGAAGAGAUUUCUGAUAAUUCGAGUUCCGCAAUAACUAAAAGGAAGAAAGACAAGGAAAGGAUUCAAGAAGCUCUAGAUCGUCUGACUAGUGAACUUCAUAGGCAUGAAGAAAAUGUUGCAUCGGUUCGUAGACGCCUGUCUCGUGAAAAAGACAAAUGGUUGAGUUCCUGCCCUGAUACUUUGAAAAUUAACAUGGAGUUCCUUCAGCGCUGCAUUUUCCCACGUUGUACUUUCAGCAUGCCAGAUGCUGUCUAUUGUGCUAUGUUUGUGCAUACUCUUCAUUCCCUUGGGACUCCAUUUUUCAACACAGUGAACCAUAUUGAUGUUCUGAUAUGCAAAACAUUACAACCUAUGAUUUGCUGUUGCACUGAAUAUGAAGCAGGAAGACUUGGGAAAUUUCUCUAUGAGACGUUAAAGAUUGCUUACUACUGGAAGAGUGAUGAAUCGAUAUAUGAACGUGAGUGUGGCAAUAUGCCUGGCUUUGCUGUGUAUUACAGAUUUCCAAACAGCCAACGUGUUACAUAUGGCCAGUUCAUCAAGGUGCACUGGAAAUGGAGUCAGAGAAUCUCACGGUUGUUGAUUCAGUGCUUGGAAUCAACUGAGUACAUGGAAAUUCGGAAUGCACUUAUUCUGUUGACGAAAAUUUCUGGUGUUUUCCCAGUUACCAAAAGGAGUGGGAUUAACCUUGAAAAGCGAGUGGCCAGGAUCAAAAGCGAUGAAAGAGAGGAUCUUAAAGUGUUGGCAACUGGUGUUGCUGCCGCUUUGGCUGCUAGAAAGCCUUCUUGGGUUACAGAUGAAGAAUUUGGCAUGGGAUACCUUGAAAUAAAGCCUCCGGCAGCUUCAAAGUCUUUGCCUAGUAAUAUAGGAGCUGGACAACAUAAUUCUGCCAUUAACGUCGCACAGAGUGAAUCUACUGGGGGAAGAGCAGUUGCCACAGUAACUCAUCAUGGAGAAUCUGGGAAUUCAGCCAGAGAACACAUAUCCAGAGCAAAACCUGCAGAUGGGAGGUCUGAUAGAACUGAAAGUGUCUCACAUGUGAAAUCUGACCCAGGACAUCAAAAAUUAAAAGGUGGAUCACUGGUUAAUGGGUUGGAUGUUCAUUCAUCUGUUUCUUCAGCUGCUAUAGUUGGGACCUCAAGAUCAACAGAGAAUCAAAAGCAAAUGGAUGAAUCAGCAAAUAAAAUAGUGGAUGAAAGCACAGGAAGAGCUGUCUUGAAGAACUCUAUGGAAUCUGAGGUAUUUUAUGUUUUGUGUUUGUUGUGUAUGAGUGUUAUUGGUUUCUCUGUUUCGGUGACAUCACUUGCCAUUAGAUUAUAGAAAUUGAGAGCCAUCUUGAUUAUAAAUUAUUCACCAUUGAUUACUGCAGCACAGGACUCUUCAUGGGUUAAACAUGCAGGGAAGGGUGCCUACUUAAAUUACCUGUUCUUUUGUCAUUUAUGUAUUUGUCAUUUCCUGUGUUUUAACUAUCAUGUUUGCAUUCAUAGCUAGCUAACAUUUAUAAUUUGACAUCCACUUUUUCUUCCCCUCUCCAAUGGAUUCACCAGCUGUCACAUGGGUACCUGCUCAGCAUUGAGCUGCCAACUCAAUAAAGAUUAAAGGAAACUAAAUUGACUAAAAUAAAAAGGAAAUGGGAUUCACCACCAAAUGCUAUGCAGGUGCCAAUGGAUCACCUAAAAUUAGCAUUUUGUGUUAUCAGAGAUGGGUCCAUGGGUUAAAUAUUAUUGGAUCUUUUCUUGGUGAAAUAGCAUGAAUGGUCUAAUGUGUCCAGCCUCUGUGUUAUUAGAAAGAAUAUUUAAGGGGUAUAGAGACUGGCCAAUAUCAGACCUUGGUCCUAAUUUCUGUUGUACUUCUGUUGAUUACUAUACAUUGAAGUAGGUAAGGAUUCUAUGAUUGGAUAGAAAAACAAAAAUUGAUUAAUCAUCAUAUAUUUAUUUGGUGGCUGUAUCUGCAUGAAUUAUUUCUCUAUUUAUUUAUGGGGGCAAAACUUAUCUUUUGAUCUACAAUCUGAAUCUAUUUGUUUAAAAUGUUGGAAGGAUUUAUUAUGUUCUGUUCUUUAUUUAUUAUUUGUUGGGAAGGUGAAAGCUUCAGCAAAACGGUCAGUGCCUGCUGGAUCUGUUAAAACCCCUAAACAAGAUCCUGCAAAAGAUGAAUCUAAAUCUGCAAAAGCAGUGGGUAGAACUCCUGGCACUUCCUCCCUUGACAAAGAUGUCCCUUCUCAUUUGUCAGAAGGAAGGCAAGGAAAUGUUGCUAAUGUUUCUUCUGCUGCCACUUCUAAUGGUAAUGCAGUUUCAGCAUCAGCUAGAGGCUCGACCUUAUCUGCAAGAACCUCUGAUGGUCAUGGUGGUGAAUUAAAGGUAGAUAGUGGAGCUGCCAAAUCUGUGGUAAAAGAUGAUGCCACUGAAGUUGCUGAUGUUCACAAGCCCCCUUCUCGACUUCUUCACUCUCCCCGGCAUGAUAGUUCUCUUUUGUCAUCAAAGUCUAGUGAUAAGCUACAGAAGAGAGCAAGUCCUGCUGAAGAUCCUGACAGAUUAAGCAAGCGCCGGAAAGGUGAUAUUGAGUUGAGAGAUUUAGAGGUUGAAGUUCGCAUCUCUGACAAAGAGAGGUCCAUGGAUGCUCGAUUAGUGGAUCUUGACAAAAUGGGGACUGAUGAACAAAGUAUGCAUAGGAGCACAGAUAAACUUAUGGAUAGGUCAAAAGACAAAAGCAAUGAGAGAUAUGACAGGGACUAUAGGGAAAGAUCAGACCGUCCUGAUAAGUCCCGUGGAGAUGAUGUUUUAGUGGAAAAAUCGAGGGAUAGGUCAAUGGAAAGAUAUGGAAGAGAGCAUUCUGUAGAGAGAGGGCAGGAGAGAGGUGCUGACAGGAGUUUUGACAGGCCCGCUGACAAAGCCAAAGAUGAACGAAACAAGGAUGAUCGUGGCAAGCUGCGGUACAGUGAUACAUCUAUGGAAAAAUCUCAUGGCGAUGAUCGAUUUUAUGGGCAAAACUUGCCACCUCCACCACCCUUGCCUCCUCAUGUGGUUCCCCAAUCAGUUAAUUCCAGUAGAAGAGAUGAAGAUGCUGACAGAAGGUUUGGAACUACCAGGCAUACUCAGAGGCUUUCUCCAAGGCAUGAGGAGAAAGAAAGACGACGCUCAGAAGAAAAUUCUUUGGUUUCACAAGAUGAUGCAAAACGUAGGAGAGAAGAUGAUUUUCGAGAUAGAAAAAGAGAAGAGCGAGAGGGGCUGUCAAUGAAGGUGGAGGAGAGGGAAAGAGAAAGGGAGAGGGAGAGGGAAAAAGUGAAUCUUUUGAAGGAGGAAAUGGAUGUUAGUGCUGCCUCUAAGAGAAGGAAACUUAAAAGAGAGCAUUUGCCAUCAGGGGAAGCUGGCGAGUAUUCUCCAGCUGCUCCACCACCUCCACCUCUUCCAAUUGGUAUGUCGCAAUCGUAUGAUGGAAGAGAUAGGGGGGAUAGAAAAGGAGCCAUGAUCCAGCGGUCAGGUUAUUUGGAGGAACCUCCAAUGAGGAUUCAUGGUAAAGAAGCAGCCAACAAGAUGACUCGUCGUGAUGCUGAUCCGUAUCCUUAAAUUCCAUUCUUGAGAAUGCAUUCAUGACUUAUUCACAUGCAUAUUCUGUUAAAAAAAUGUUUAAGCUGUGCCUAUGAUAACUGUCUUCCAAUAAAAAUCUAAUGUAGGUAGUCUACUUAAGUACUUAGCCUUGAUCUGGACCCAUCUGGAAUAUUGCCCUAAAAACUGGCACAGGGCUUGACCUGACCAUGUGACCUCCAAGGCAACCCAGGUUGUUAAUAGUAAACUCACUAAGGCCCGUACAGACAGUGUAGGACUCUGGGUUAUCCUUGAAGUCUUUGUUCUUGUGGUUUUGUAUUGAAUUGUCCAAUUUAACCAUCUAUUAUGUGAUUAUUGACAUUGAUCUUCAGUGGGCACAGCCUACUGAAAUCAUAUUAUAGCAUGCGUACCUUCUUAUAAUUUUGUCAUCUCAUGAAAAAAAAAAAAAAAGGUUAGGCUUGAAGCUUGAUCAUACAUUUGAAGUGAGAUUAUUUACCAGAAAUUGCCAGUCCUUAAUCUGGUUAUAGAAUGUAUGACCGAGAAUGGGAUGAUGACAAGAGGCAAAGAGCAGAGCCAAAGCGGAGGCACAGGAAGUAGUGUGCUGGAAACAAAUCAAGACAAGCUAGCUGAUUGGGUGAAUCAAUAUGGGUGUAUGUGAUUACUUGGAGUUCCCAUUGAUACUUAUAUUUCCUGUUAUACUGUACCAGACUAGCUGUUAUUGCACAUGAUUUUUCGUGGUUUUUGUGCAAAAGUUCAUUAAUUGGAAACUGAGAUUGAUUAACACCAUCUGUGCAAUGCUGUAUAUUUUGAGAAUUGUAGACUUAGUGUAGUUUUAUAAUAUUAAAUAUUACUCUUUCAAAUUCUAUACCAAAUGUAAAUGAAAAAUUUUGAGAAACGUUUUCAAUAAAUCGAAAUUUUACUCUUUUAAAA